UACGGAAGGCAGCAGUGGGGAAUAUUGCACAAUGGGCGCAAGCCUGAUGCAGCCAUGCCGCGUGUAUGAAGAAGGCCUUCGGGUUGUAAAGUACUUUCAGUCGUGAGGAAGGUGUUAAGGUUAAUAACCUUAGCAAUUGACGUUAGCGACAGAAGAAGCACCGGCUAACUCCGUGCCAGCAGCCGCGGUAAUACGGAGGGUGCGAGCGUUAAUCGGAAUUACUGGGCGUUAAAGGGCACGCAGGCGGUUAAUUAAGUUGGAUGUGAAAUCCCCGGGCUUAACCUGGGAAUGGCAUUCAAGACUGGUUAGCUAGAGUCUUGUAGAGGGGGUAGAAUUCCAUGUGUAGCGGUGAAAUGCGUAGAGAUGUGGAGGAAUACCGGUGGCGAAAGGCGGCCCCUGGACAAAGACUGACGCUCAUGUGCGAAAGCGUGGGGA
This 435-nucleotide ribosomal RNA is filed under the name uncultured bacterium. RNAcentral's name for it is "bacterial SSU rRNA". It matches the Rfam family "Bacterial small subunit ribosomal RNA", at positions 340 to 767 of the family's 1533-position model. The record is from RNAcentral.